AAAGGCUUUCAAUUUAGCAAUCUAGACAAUUAACAGUAUUUCUACCAAAAAGCAUUAGUGGAAACUACCAAGCUAGAGUAUGGUAGGGGCAGAGGGAAUUUCCGGUGGAGCGGUGAAAUGCGUAGAGAUCGGAAAGAACACCAACGAUGAAAGCACUCUGUUGGGCCGACACUGACACUGAGAGACGAAAGCUAGGGGAGCGAAUGGGAUUAGAUACCCCAGUAGUCCUAGUCGUAAACGAUGGAUACUAGGCGCUGUGCGUAUCGACCCGUGCAAUGUUGUAGCUAACGUGUUAAGUAUCGC
This 303-nucleotide non-coding RNA is filed under the name Vigna radiata var. radiata (mung bean). Its description in RNAcentral is "Bacterial small subunit ribosomal RNA". It matches the Rfam family "Bacterial small subunit ribosomal RNA", at positions 562 to 870 of the family's 1533-position model. The record is from Rfam by way of RNAcentral. Lineage: Eukaryota; Viridiplantae; Streptophyta; Magnoliopsida; Fabales; Fabaceae.